Molecule: transfer RNA, 110 nt
Filed under: Agrocybe pediades
Lineage: Eukaryota; Fungi; Basidiomycota; Agaricomycetes; Agaricales; Agrocybaceae
Rfam family: tRNA
About the family: Transfer RNA (tRNA) molecules are approximately 80 nucleotides in length. Their secondary structure includes four short double-helical elements and three loops (D, anti-codon, and T loops).
Source: Rfam by way of RNAcentral
GGCUACCUGGCGCAAUGGUAGCGCGUUUGGCUUCGAUUGCCUAAUGUUCUCCACAUUUAUUCACGUAGAAAUACACCAAAAGGUUGCAGGUUCGAGUCCUGCGGUGGUCA